RNAcentral lists this ribosomal RNA (494 nucleotides) under uncultured bacterium. RNAcentral describes it as "bacterial SSU rRNA". It matches the Rfam family "Bacterial small subunit ribosomal RNA", at positions 371 to 883 of the family's 1533-position model. The record is from RNAcentral.
AUGGGCGAAAGCCUGAUGCAGCAACGCCGCGUGAGUGAAGAAGGCCUUCGGGUUGUAAAGCUCUGUCUUUUGGGACGAUAAUGACGGUACCAAAGGAGGAAGCCACGGCUAACUACGUGCCAGCAGCCGCGGUAAUACGUAGGUGGCGAGCGUUGUCCGGAUUUACUGGGCGUAAAGGAUGCGUAGGUGGAUAUUUAAGUGGGAUGUGAAAUACCCGGGCUCAACUUGGGUGCUGCAUUCCAAACUGGAUAUCUAGAGUGCAGGAGAGGAAAGUGGAAUUCCUAGUGUAGCAGUGAAAUGCGUAGAUAUUAGGAGGAACACCAGUGGCGAAGGCGGCUUUCUGGACUGUAACUGACACUGAGGCAUGAAAGCGUGGGGAGCAAACAGGAUUAGAUACCCUGGUAGUCCACGCCGUAAACGAUGGGUACUAGGUGUGGGAGUUGUCAUGACUUCCGUGCCGUCGUUAACACAGUAAGUACCCGCCUGGGGAGUAC